Non-coding RNA from Triticum urartu, 115 nucleotides. Lineage: Eukaryota; Viridiplantae; Streptophyta; Magnoliopsida; Poales; Poaceae. The record is from Rfam.
CUGAUACUCCCUCCGUUCUAAAUUACUUGUCGCAGGUAUGGAUGUAUCUAGAUGUAUUUUAGUUCUAGAUACAUCAAUUUCUGCGACGAGUAAUUUGGAACCGAGGGAGUACAUU